This 394-nucleotide ribosomal RNA is filed under the name uncultured bacterium. RNAcentral describes it as "partial 16S ribosomal RNA". It matches the Rfam family "Bacterial small subunit ribosomal RNA", at positions 523 to 918 of the family's 1533-position model. The record is from RNAcentral.
AUACGUAGGGAGCGAGCGUUGUCCGGAAUUACUGGGCGUAAAGGGCGCGUAGGCGGCGCUUCAAGUCGUCUGUCAAAUGGGAGGGCUUAACCCUUUUUCGCAGACGAAACUGGAGAGCUUGAGAAGCAGAGAGGCAAACAGAAUUCCUGGUGUAGCGGUGAAAUGCGUAGAGAUCAGGAAGAAUACCAGUGGCGAAGGCGGUUUGCUGGCUGCAUACUGACGCUGAAGCGCGAAAGCCAGGGGAGCAAACGGGAUUAGAUACCCCGGUAGUCCUGGCAGUAAACGAUGUAUGCUGGGUGUGAGACUAGCGAUAGUUUCGUGCCGAAGUUAACGCGAUAAGCAUACCGCCUGGGGAGUACGGUCGCAAGAUUGAAACUCAAAUGAAUUGACGGGG